GCAAGGCCAAAUAGGGGUUCACAUGGUACGGCCCGUACUGAACCCGGGUAGGCUGCUUGAGCCAGUGAGCGAUUGCUGGCCUAGAUGAAUGACUGUCCAAGACAGAACCCGGCUUACCGGUCAGCUUCACUC
Molecule: RNase P RNA, 132 nt
Filed under: Serratia marcescens
Lineage: Bacteria; Pseudomonadati; Pseudomonadota; Gammaproteobacteria; Enterobacterales; Yersiniaceae
Also listed under: 1 other name
Description: partial RNase P RNA component class A
Rfam family: Bacterial RNase P class A
About the family: Ribonuclease P (RNase P) is a ubiquitous endoribonuclease, found in archaea, bacteria and eukarya as well as chloroplasts and mitochondria. Its best characterised activity is the generation of mature 5'-ends of tRNAs by cleaving the 5'-leader elements of precursor-tRNAs. Cellular RNase Ps are ribonucleoproteins.
Source: RNAcentral